GACGAACGCUGGCGGCGUGCUUAACACAUGCAAGUCGAACGGAAAGGCCCCUUUGGGGGUACUCGAGUGGCGAACGGGUGAGUAACACGUGAGUAACCUGCCCUUGACUUCGGGAUAACUUCAGGAAACUGGGGCUAAUACCGGAUAGGAAUCCUUGCUGCAUGGUGGGGGUUGGAAAGCUUCGGCGGUUUUGGAUGGACUCGCGGCCUAUCAGCUUGUUGGUGGGGUAGUGGCUUACCAAGGCUUUGACGGGUAGCCGGCCUGAGAGGGCGACCGGCCACAUUGGGACUGAGAUACGGCCCAGACGCCGACGGGAGGCAGAAGUGGGGAAUAUUGCACAAUGGGCGGAAGCCUGAUGCAGCAACGCCGCGUGCGGGAUGACGGCCUUCGGGUUGUAAACCGCUUUCAGCAGGGGCGAAGCUUGUGGUGACGGUACCUGCAGAAGAAGCACCGGCUAACUACGUG
This 465-nucleotide ribosomal RNA is filed under the name uncultured bacterium. Its description in RNAcentral is "partial 16S ribosomal RNA". It matches the Rfam family "Bacterial small subunit ribosomal RNA", at positions 28 to 507 of the family's 1533-position model. The record is from RNAcentral.